This is a long non-coding RNA of Esox lucius (northern pike), 1000 nucleotides long. Lineage: Eukaryota; Metazoa; Chordata; Actinopteri; Esociformes; Esocidae. The record is from Ensembl.
UAUCGUUUCUGUUAUUUUAUUUGAAGUAAUUGAUCUGAAUUGUGUUGCAAUUACAAACGCAAACAAACAACACAUUUGAACUUUUUAAGAAUGUGUAAAUACAUUUUAUGAUUGCGCAAUCCAUGCAUUUUUAGCUGUCUUUCAUAUUGCCUGUUUAACUCUCUGGUUUAGGUUGAGUGGAAUUAAACACCAGCUGUGUUUUGUAAAACAAAUGUGGGGCCUUCAAAUCUUGGUAAGUAGACUUUUGAUAUUAUUGUUAGUCAGCUUUAAUUACCUGUAUACGCUUGUUAAUCCUAAUUGUAUUUAGACCAAGUGACCAGCAUCUGUGUCAGUUGGACUGGGCGGUUGUGAACUUAUACAACCUGAGCAGAUACUUUUUGUAUUGAGGACAGCCCGGUGAUGAUACAGAGUACAUUACCAUAAUAGAUUCAGUUACGGACACCCUACCUUGUGGCUGCACAGCGUGAGGGGAUUUUUGUUUCAUUGUUUUCUUUCAUGCUUGAAAGCUGAAGGUAAUACAGUCAACUCAUCAAAACUGUGAUGUAUGUAAAUGUAUGUUUGAGUUAGAAUAGUUUAACCUGAAAAGUGGAUCGUUAUUUACACGUUAAGCUAGAGAAAUGGCGAAAGAUAAUGCUAACAGACCAGACACAGAACAGCCAACAACCUCUACACAUAAUCAACCGACCACACCCCAAAAUACAAAUGAACCAACUAUUACUUCGUUACACAGCAAUGCAGACAAUAAUCCUCAGAUACAAGGCUUGUUAACCUAGCUUAGUAGCCCCCAUUUUUCACACAAUCUAGUUGACUCUUCUUCGAGCUCUCUGAUGCAAACUCAGUGCAGUGAUGGCGAUGUUAGAGUUAUACAACGUAAUGCGUUUCACAAUGUUGAAUUACGACAGUUGAUACAUUUACAAAAUACUGGUGAAGUUGGUGAUUUUGGCACAUUCUAUGCAAGUAUUAUGUCGGGCUUGGAUACUUGUUAGAGCUUCAGACUUUG